This is a long non-coding RNA of Pseudopipra pipra, 1928 nucleotides long. RefSeq lists it as uncharacterized. NCBI's taxonomy places the organism in Eukaryota, Metazoa, Chordata, Aves, Passeriformes, Pipridae. The record is from RefSeq and is a predicted model, not a curated record. The transcript is spliced from 2 exons.
AAUGCAUUUCAGGACCCAAGUUCAAUAUUUACAAAAUAAGUCGUCCUUUAUCAGCAUAUAUCACUGUUGCCAGCCCAAGGAUUAUGUUGCUAUCUCAUAUAUACAGACAGGUGAAGCAGCCAGAAAAAAUGAUUGAGAUAAGAGUGAAGGUAAUCAGGGAAAAAGAAAACAUAAUUAAAUUCUUUAUGGGAAAGGUUCCAAAACAUAGAGCAGAACACUAGCACCCAUAGACCAGAAACACUAGCAGUGUUUCUACAGCAGAAACAGAUAUGAUGUUUUUUGCCAAUUGAUUUGUGAGCAAUGUAUCGGGUUUAUCAAAAACAAAGGAGUAAUCAUCUUAUUAACAAGAGAGGAAUCAUCCUGUUGAGAAAGAAAAAGAACAGAACAGUGAGAGUACAGAGCACCCAGGUGGUGGGAAGCUUUGGAAACCUCAUCAGUGAGCCAUAGUCAAUGACAUAAAGUCCAAAGUGAGGCCAUGCAGGGUCUGUUUCAUUAGACUGUUGAAGUGAAAAGAUAUAUACUCUCUAAGCUGUGUAACAAAUGAAUAUGAAUUUAAAUUCCAGUUUUAAUUCUCCAAAAUAUUUUCAGAAAAUUUAGCAAAUGACUUCAUGGACUUAAGGACUGGGCCCAUAAGAAAUUAAUGGAACUUAUUCCAUUAGUUAGAAAGCAAUUUACAGAAUGUCCAGAAAAAUAAGCCUGAUUUCUGCCCCCUAAAGCUUUUUCUUACUUCCUCAGCAGAAAUGAAAAUUAUCCCUUUUUGCAGUUCUUAUGGAAAGCUGUUGCCUUGCAUUUCUUGCUAAAGCAAGAUGGAGAGACCAAUUCAGUACACAGUGGUUUUAUAAUGUAUAAUCUAGUUUAAAUUGCACCGUAUCAUAAGACAUGAAAAUCCACGGUUUUCCUCCUGUACAAAAAGUAGUCUAGAUACAAGCCAGAGUGAAGACUCAUUCUCUGAACAAUAAGAGACUGUAGCUGGCACUGCUGAAUGUACAACUUUCUACAGCAAGGUCAUGGCCAGGCUGGAAAAUUCUGCUUCUAUAAAUUUUAUUGACUUUCAGUUUCUGAUAAUACAAAGUGAAAGCACACUGAACUCUGGCAUUGUGCCACAGGAGACUAUUUAAUUCUGAGAGCCAAACCCCGCAGUUUGCUGAGUCACAGAAAACUUACAGUGAAAAGUUUGUGUAAAUGAAAGGCACCUUUUGUCAAUGACAAAUUUGUAAUGUACUUUUGACCAGACUUCAGUUUAUUUUCUGUCCCUCUCACAGGGGAAUAUAACGAGAAUAUAACUCAGAGAGAAAAAUAUUGCUUCUGCAUGUAAAGCUAUUUGAAAACCUUCCAGUUUGCCUGGCUCAUAACCCUUCCUCAGUUUCCCUAGUGACUGUGUGGUAAGAGGAACAAAACAGCUCCAGGAGAAAUAUAAUUUAAUUCCACUGAUUCUUGUUCCACUGUUACGAUCAGACACUGUCAGUCUGCUUCAGUGAAAUAAAGAAAAUGUAGAAUAUAGCUACUUUUUAAAUACAUUUUCUUUUCUGCUUGUAAGGCUUUGAUUUCCUUAUGACAGAGGGUGACCCAAAUUAUAUUCUUCAGUAGGAAUAGAUUUGCAAAAAGCACCUUAACGCCUGCCCCAAGGAUCGUAAAUAAGGACAACAGCCUUCAGACCCGGAACUUUGGAAGGCCUCCAAGGGCUGCACGUGCUUUGAUGAAGAGGAAGAUGAUGAAAGAGGAGUCCCAAACUCCCCCAGACUCAAUUCCCAAAGGGGUGUGCCAGGGUGCAGAAUGGGGCAGAGCCGGGAGGUGGACGAACAGGGACUGGAUGGACAUCAUUAUAAAAUUGUAACACCUGAGUCAAAACCGCACGCACAACAGUUGUAUUCCCAGAGCCCAGUGGCUCAUUAAAGCUUUCUGCUUUCUUAUCUUAUCUUAUACCCUAA